ACGGACGAGAAAUGGGCCCUCCCACUCUCUCUCUCUCUCUCGCUCUCACACACACAAACACACACAUACAGGGGAGAGAAGACGUAAAAUAUCAAGUGGACAAGCGGAAACACACGCAGAGUGAUGUCAGAGUCUCGAGUCCACCAUUCCUCUGUCUCCUCCAUCUCCUCCAUCUCCUCAAUCUCUUUGGUUGAGAUCAAGGCUGAGACUCAUCUAGUCCUCCAGGCAUUUCUCCAACGGACCCUUUCUACCCCAAUGAAAGAGAGACCUGGUAGAGUAGGGGGUGCUUACAGCCAGCACAACAAGUACAGCUCCACAUCACAACCAAAAGCAAAAGAUGGGUGUGAUUCUCAAGCUGAAUAUGUCGGCUCAGCAGAUGCGAAGAAGACUGGAUUCAAAGACUUCAUUAAGCAGUUGCCACUUCGCAACAACACAAAACGCUCGGGUAAAGAUCCUAAAAGCUCACUGGAAAGGGAGAGCACUGCAAAAUGUUCCCACAUCAGAGACCAAGCAGAGGAUGAUCUUGUUAUCCUGACCUCUACAUCAGAAGAUGAUGAAAGUGAGAAGAAACAGCAGAAGAAGCUGGAGCAAACGAAGAUUAGAAAAAAGAUUUCAAAGUUCCUCAGGUUAAAGUUGGAGAGAGAAGUCAAAGAGGGGCAUGAAACCUGUCCAAAUAAGCCUACCACGCCAGUCCACCAAGGUCUAGAACCAAACCCACCCAUAAUCUCUCCCAACCACCAUCCUGAGUUCUAUAAUGUGGUAGCAGAGAAGCUGGAAAAGAUUGCACAGAGGUCCACCAGUAUAAAGAAACAGAGUUCUACAGCCCAGCUUUCACAAGAAGUGUGUGACAAAGAGGCAGCUGUGCAGCAGCUUGUGAAGGUGCUCUGUUCGGAGGGAGAUUCUAUCAACACUAAGAUCCAGUCAGACCCUUUCCUGCGCUCCAGCUUUGCUCGUCUUUCUUAUGCAUCAUUUGCCAAGCUUCUAGACACUGUGAGUCAGGUAUCUGAGGCCUCGCCAUCUGCUAGUCCAACACUGCAACGCAUGGCUGUCACCAUGGAGGUAUCACGGCGGAUAGUGACAGCCACUGGAACAAUGCGCAUGCAGGGCUAUGCAGAAUGCUACAUGGAGACCUUUGCACCCUGGGUAAAGAGUCAUGGAGGAUGGGAGAAUGUAGAUUUGGAGGAGCCUGAGGAAUAUGACUGAGUUCCAAAUCCAAAAGUGUUUUUUCCGACUAACCCCUGGUCAACACUGAAUUCUGGAUCAUCACAUCAAAGACUGUCCAAGAAACUGGUCAAGAACAGAACAAAGAAUGUGAGAAGCUGAAGAAGUGGCCUCGCAGCAUAAAAAAACGUAUCUACCGGACAGCCGCUACGUCAACAUCAGGGCCAGAGAGAGUGGUAAAGUGGACCUCCAUCCUUAACCAUGUCCAAGACAUUCACUCCUAUGAAGACCCUGUUUUCCCCCAGUGUUUGCAUCCGCAACACACUUCAAGGGACAAAAGCAAAUGGUUGACAGCAGGGUACAGACCCCGAACAACAAGAAUCAAGAAAGAACAAUUUCUUCAAAAUAAAGCCAAACUACAAAGUGCUAUAAAUAAGUGCCAUUUAAGUUCUACUAAAUUGUUAGUUUCAAAAAGUUGUUAGUAUAUAUAUUUUUUUUUUUAUUCAAGUAUAGUCGGAAGAGGUAUGUUUUUUGUUUUCCGCGGAAGAUGUGUAAACUUUCCGAUGUCCGGAUGUCGAUGGGGAGCUCAUUCCAUUUAGGAACCAGGACAGCAAAGAGUCGUGAUUUUGAUGAGUGUUUAGCUCGCAGUGAGGGAUCAACGAGCCGAUUAUCCGAAGCAGAGCGGAGUAAACGUGCUGGGGUGUAACGUUUGACCAUGUCCUGGAUGUAGACUGGAACCUGAUCCGUUUACAGCAUGGUACGCAAGUACUGGUGUUUUGAACCGGAUGCGGGGAGCCACUGGUAGCCAGUGAAGGUAGCCAGUGAAGGGAGCGGAGGAGUGGAGUAGUGUGAGUGAAUUAAGGUUGGUUAAAAACCAGUCGAGCUGCUGCAUUCUGGAUGAGCUGCAAUGGUCGGAUGGCAGUAGCAGUAAGACCUGCCAGGUGGGAGUUACAGUAGUCUAGAUGUGAGAUGACAAGAGCCUGGACCAGAACCUGCACCGCCUUCUGAGUGAGAAGGGGGCGUAUUCUCCUGAUGUUGUACAGCAUGAAUCUACAGGAACGUGUUGUUGCAUUAAUGUUGGCAGUAAGGGAGAGUUGGCUAUCAUGUGUCACACCCAGGCAGAGGUGUAUAGUAACGAAGUAGAUGUACUUCGUUACACUACUUAAGUAUUUUUUUUGAGGAUUUGUACUUUACUUGAGUUUUUUUUUUUAUCAGGACUUUUACUUUUACUUCACUACAUUUUUAAGUUAAAAAAUAUACUUUUACUUCGUUACUUUGACAUUUGCCACCUCGUUACUCGUUACAUACAUACAUUAAAAUAGUCUCUGCAUGAGAUUCCGAGAGGACGAGAAGAACCACGUACGGUACUCUCGCGAAGAAGGUAUAAAUACGGGAUGCGCGGGCGGCAGAGAGAUCACUACAAACAUGGCAGCCGCAGAGCAUGUGGAUGAGGGAGACACAGAAGACGACGCACGGCGUUCAACAGAAGUCGACGACGGACACCCGUGGUCAUACCUGGAAAGUAUGUUCAGCUACCUCUGGAUGGAGGCAAAUUCCUACCGAAUGAAGUGCAUGUUAUGCCUUCCGAAGCGCCACGAAAUAAAGGCCUUCAAAAACUCCCCGUCCAACCUCAAAAAACACAUCGAAAGAGCACAUCCACAACAUCUAAAGAAAUAUGAGCAGCUGACCUCACAAAAAAGAAAGAGGGCUUCGGAAGCUGGGACCUCCACCCUCAAACAGACCACGUUGCUGGCUACCCGAUCCAUAUCUCAGAGUGCUGUUGACAGGGCCAUUGUUAAGUAUGUUGUCAACAAUCUCCAGCCAUUGUCAACUGUCGAGAAUGAAGCCUUCAGAGAGCUUCUCACAGAUCUUCUUCCUACUGCCAAAGUCAUCACACGGGUCACCCUGCGAUCAAGGAUUGAAGAUUUAGCAAAGUCUAUGAAAAACGUGUUAACUGAGGAGAUGAGUAAAGUGGACCACAUCGCCACCACUACAGACUGCUGGUCAGUUAGGAGAAGGAGCUUCCUUGGUGUGACUGCUCAUUGGGUGAACUCUACAGACCUAACUAGACGAUCAGCAGCCCUAGCUUGCAGACAGCUAAGAGGUUCCCACACCUUUGAUGUUUUGGCCACCGCACUCAAUGACAUCCAUACUGAAUAUGGCAUCAGGAACAAAGUUGUGAGGACAACAACCGAUAAUGGCUCCAACUUCCUGAAGGCUUUUCAAGUUUUUAGUGUGGACAAAAACAAUAAUGAAGCAGAAGAGAAAGAGGAUGAGGAAGGGAAUGAGAUGGAGGGAGUGGAAUUUGUUGACAUGACUUCAAUCCUUGUUGAGAAUGAUGGCUUUGAGUUUGAGCUUCCGAAACAUCAACGAUGUGCUUGUCAUCUGCUCAACUUAGUGUCUACAGUUGAUGCUGAAAAAGCAACAGCCAACGAUGGAUACAAAAAACUGCAACGCUCAACAUUCAGCAAGUGUUAUGGGCUGUGGAAUAAGUGUGGAAGAUCCUGCCAAGCAGCUGAAGCUGUGGAAGAUGCCUGCUCCCUCCAGCUGCUAUGACCAAACGCCACCAGGUGGAACUCAAUGUUUAUGGCUGUGGAAAGGCUCCUCAAGAUUCUGAGAGAGAAGGGAGAGCCAGCUUUGAGAGAGAUCUGUGCAGAAUUGAAGGUUUCAUCCAGUUGAGCUCACUUUCCUAAAAGAGUACUACACCACCAUGAGCCCUGUUGCCCAGUCCAUCAACAUCCUCCAAGGAGAAGUGGAAGUCCAGAUGGGAUGGCUUCUUCCGACUAUUUCCUUGCUGAGCAGCAAACUGGAAAAAAUAAAGAUUGCACUGAAGCACUGCAAGCCGCUGGUUGAAGCCAUUCAAGUGGGCAUCCAGAACUGUUUUGGUGAAAUGUCAAGAGACCCUGAAUUGGUUGCUGCAGCGAUUCUCAUCCCAAAAUUCAAAACGGCCUGGAUCAAAGAUGAUGCUACACUGAAAAUCGGGUUGGACUACAUCAGGGAGCAGUUGGAGGAUCCUUCUAUUUCAGCAGAGGCUGGAUCUGGCUCAUCUGAUGAGGGAGACUUCUUCCACAUCCUGAAAAGUUCCCACAAAACACCAAGCGCCACCAAGCAGCUUGAUUCGUAUCUGGCCUACUCAAAAGACGACAUCAAGAUUCUCAAGACGUUUCCUGUGGUUCUCAAGUUGUCUGUCAAACUCAACACACCUCUGCCUGCUUCUGCAGCUUGCGAAAGGCUGUUCAGCAUAGCAGGUCUCAUCUUCAGCCCAAAAAGAGCACGGCUAGCUGCAGACACUUUUGAAAAUCAGCUUCUGCUGAGGAUGAACCGCAAGUUCAACUUCUCCACUUGAACCAGAAAGUUUGUUUGUGUGGUGUUACUGUGCCUCAGCUCAUGAGGAUUCCCCCAACAUAGUUAAAAAGUGGUUCUUAUGUUAAAGACAUUGUUUAUUUUUGAGUGGUAUUCUAUACCACAUUUCAUUCACCUGAAAAAGUGAAAUAAAAAACAAGGGGAGAAUAAU
This is an RNA transcript of Pleuronectes platessa (European plaice), 4675 nucleotides long. It is a transcript of the gene named BCL2 like 12, with no coding region annotated. Lineage: Eukaryota; Metazoa; Chordata; Actinopteri; Pleuronectiformes; Pleuronectidae. The record is from RefSeq and is a predicted model, not a curated record. The transcript is spliced from 13 exons.